This is a long non-coding RNA of Rhodamnia argentea, 136 nucleotides long. RefSeq lists it as uncharacterized. The record is from RefSeq and is a predicted model, not a curated record. The transcript has 3 exons. Lineage: Eukaryota; Viridiplantae; Streptophyta; Magnoliopsida; Myrtales; Myrtaceae.
UUUAGAUAAAAUAAGGAGUAACGUAACAUUUGUGUUCUCUUUUACUGAAAAUCUAAUACAGAUUGACGGAAUUUCUCUAGCAUAAUGAGUUCAUGUUAAACGAAUAAGAGAAUGUUUUGCAAGAAAGAACCAAAAU